This 72-nucleotide transfer RNA is filed under the name Barboides gracilis. RNAcentral describes it as "tRNA-Asp". It matches the Rfam family "tRNA". From Rfam's summary of the family: Transfer RNA (tRNA) molecules are approximately 80 nucleotides in length. Their secondary structure includes four short double-helical elements and three loops (D, anti-codon, and T loops). The record is from RNAcentral. Lineage: Eukaryota; Metazoa; Chordata; Actinopteri; Cypriniformes; Cyprinidae.
AAGAUAUUAGUAAAAUGAAUAUUACAUCACCUUGUCAAGGUGAAAUUGCGGGUUAAAUUCACGCAUAUCUUA